UGAGGAAUAUUGGUCAAUGGACGCAAGUCUGAACCAGCCAAGUAGCGUGCAGGAUGACGGCCCUAUGGGUUGUAAACUGCUUUUAUAUGGGGAUAAAGUGGGGAACGUGUUCCCUUUUGCAGGUACCAUAUGAAUAAGGACCGGCUAAUUCCGUGCCAGCAGCCGCGGUAAUACGGAAGGUUCGGGCGUUAUCCGGAUUUAUUGGGUUUAAAGGGAGCGUAGGCCGUUUGGUAAGCGUGUUGUGAAAUGUAGGAGCUCAACUUCUAGAUUGCAGCGCGAACUGUCAGACUUGAGUGCGCACAACGUAGGCGGAAUUCAUGGUGUAGCGGUGAAAUGCUUAGAUAUCAUGAAGAACUCCGAUUGCGAAGGCAGCUUACUGUAGCAUAACUGACGCUGAUGCUCGAAAGUGCGGGUAUCAAACAGG
Molecule: ribosomal RNA, 424 nt
Filed under: Verrucomicrobiota bacterium
Lineage: Bacteria; Pseudomonadati; Verrucomicrobiota
Description: Verrucomicrobia bacterium partial 16S ribosomal RNA
Rfam family: Bacterial small subunit ribosomal RNA
Source: RNAcentral